Small nucleolar RNA from Ursus americanus (American black bear), 74 nucleotides. Lineage: Eukaryota; Metazoa; Chordata; Mammalia; Carnivora; Ursidae. The record is from Ensembl.
UGAGUCAGUGGUGAUGAAAGGUGGUGGAUGGAUCAGGGACAGUGAGGACUGUGUGUCUGGAUACCGAGGCCCAA